GGCGAUUCAUUGAGGAUGAAGCUCUAAAAACAACCAGAUCCAGCUCACGGGUGCCAUGGUUGCAGCAUCCCUAGCGUAGCCCCGCCUUCGGCUCGCCGCGGUCCACCUCCGGCUCGCCGCGGUAGUCGGUGUCCAGCAAAAACUAACAAAAUCCUUAGUGGCCGGUUUGAAGCAAAUUCAUUAUAAGGUUCCAGCAAAAAACACACCGGUUCCAGCAAAAUUAACCUCAACAAAGAAAACUUCGGUGGUUGAUUGUAGCAAAAAAAAUUGCUAGUUCCAGCAAAAAAAACAUUGGUUCCAGCAAAAUAACUCUGAAGGGAGACUUGAAUUGGUUCUAUUGUAGCAAACAAAAAAAGAUUGUAGCAAAAGGAAAAGCUAGUUCCAGCAAAAACAUACACUGGUUCCAGCAAAUAUCGCACGUUGACGAUGAGCACGCAUCUGGUUCCAGCAAAUCGGUGGCCGACGGCAGCAAAAACUGAUACCGGUUCCAGCAAAUGGAUGGCCGGUUGUAGCAUUUCUUGUCACCGGUUGCAACUGUCGACACCGCGGUUGUAGCAAAUCGCCAGUAGUGGUCGUCGCCGCCGCCCGUUGAUUGUAGCAUGGCCGCAUGCCGGUUGUAGCACCUCGGAACGCCGGUUCCAGCUUUGCGUGCAUGCGGUUGGAGCACCGCCGCACCUCGCGUCGCCGCUGGUCGUCCCGCACCUCGUCGGUCACCGCUCGUAGCAGCAAGACGUCGCCGGUUCAUAGCACAGGCGGUGACCGCUCCGCGCGUCCCUGCACACAAGAAAAGCAGUGAGAAAUAGGGAACGGCGCUCCCGCUGGCAAAAAUUAGCUCGACGGCCUGCGCGAGGAGCAGACGGCACAUGAGGCAGGAUUAAAAGGAGAUGGGAAGAGGUGGGGAUCCAUGGAGUUUUUGCCGUGGUGUGUGGAGAAGAGCAUGGGAGCUAUUUCUGUUUCGGUGGAGAAGAAAUCGAUGGAGAAGAAAGGGGAUAAGGUCCGUGUGGUGUAUAGUGGG
RNAcentral lists this ribosomal RNA (1015 nucleotides) under Triticum aestivum (bread wheat). Its description in RNAcentral is "partial small subunit ribosomal RNA". Lineage: Eukaryota; Viridiplantae; Streptophyta; Magnoliopsida; Poales; Poaceae. The record is from RNAcentral.